This 496-nucleotide ribosomal RNA is filed under the name uncultured bacterium. Its description in RNAcentral is "partial 16S ribosomal RNA". It matches the Rfam family "Bacterial small subunit ribosomal RNA", at positions 28 to 506 of the family's 1533-position model. The record is from RNAcentral.
GAUGAACGCUGGCGGCGUGCCUAAUACAUGCAAGUCGAGCGGACGGACGCUAAGCUUGCGUCUCUGAUGUUAGCGGCACGCGGGUGAGUAACACGUGGAUAACCUCCCUGUAAGACUGGGAAAACUUCGGGAAACCGGCGCUAAUACGGGAUAAUAUUAUGAACCGCAUGGUUCAAAGGAGAAAGACGGUCUUGCUGUCACUUAUAGAUGGAUCCGCGCUGCAUUAGGUAGUUGGUGAGGUAACGGCUUACCAAGGGAACGAUGCCUGGCCGACCUGCGGGGGGGAUCGGCCACACAGGAACUGAGACACGGUCCAGACUCCGACGGGAGGCAGAAGGAGGGAAGCUGCCGCAAUGGGGGAAAGCCUGACCGAGCAACGCAGCGGGAGUGAUGAAGGGCUGCGGAUCGUAAAACUCUGUUAUUAGGGAAGAACACAUGUGUAAGUAACGGUGCACAUCUGGACGGUACCGAAACAGAAAGCCACGGCUACCUACGU